Molecule: ribosomal RNA, 626 nt
Filed under: uncultured Pseudomonadota bacterium
Lineage: Bacteria; Pseudomonadati; Pseudomonadota
Description: bacterial SSU rRNA
Rfam family: Bacterial small subunit ribosomal RNA
Source: RNAcentral
GCAGCGAUGCCGCGUGAGUGAAGAAGGCCCUUGGGUUGUAAAGCUCUUUCGUCGGGGAAGAAAAUGACUGUACCCGAAUAAGAAGGUCCGGCUAACUUCGUGCCAGCAGCCGCGGUAAUACGAAGGGACCUAGCGUAGUUCGGAAUUACUGGGCUUAAAGAGUUCGUAGGUGGUUGAAAUAGUUGGUGGUGAAAUCCCAGAGCUUAACUCUGGAACUGCCAUCAAAACUUUUCAGCUAGAGUAUGAUAGAGGAAAGCAGAAUUUCUAGUGUAGAGGUGAAAUUCGUAGAUAUUAGAAAGAAUACCAAUUGCGAAGGCAGCUUUCUGGAUCAUUACUGACACUGAGGAACGAAAGCAUGGGUAGCGAAGAGGAUUAGAUACCCUCGUAGUCCAUGCCGUAAACGAUGUGUGUUAGACGUUGGAAAUUUAUUUUCAGUGUCGCAGGGAAACCGAUAAACACACCGCCUGGGGAGUACGACCGCAAGGUUAAAACUCAAAUGAAUUGACGGGGACCCGCACAAGUAGUGGAGCAUGUGGUUUAAUUCGAAGAUACGCGCAGAACCUUACCAACACUUGACAUGUUCGUCGCGACUCUAAGAGAUUAGAGUUUUCGGUUCGGCCGGACGA